Molecule: long non-coding RNA, 756 nt
Filed under: Vigna radiata
Lineage: Eukaryota; Viridiplantae; Streptophyta; Magnoliopsida; Fabales; Fabaceae
Description: long non-coding RNA (VRAD_LNC000976)
Source: RNAcentral
AAGGAGGAGAGAAAAUCCGAAAGUGGGGAGGUGGAGGUGGGGGCAAGAGAAAGAGAGAAGGAGAAAAAAUCAGUGCGAAGUUGAGGGUGUGGUGCUGCAGCGUUGCAGUAAGAGGGAAAGGAGAUUAAGGUUUUAAAAAAAAGUAAAAGUUAGGUUUAAACCCUAUUUUGGUCCCUAAGUUAAGUUCUGAUGUUCAGUUUAGUCCUCGUUUUUAAAAAUGUCAACCUUUAGUCCCUAUGAUAUGAAAAAUGUAUCAAUGCAGUCCUAUUCGUUAACAAAUCACAAGUUUUUCAUUAAGUGAUUUGUUGUUCAUAACACCUCCCGUUAAUAAAUCACAAAAUAUUGGAUUCCUAGGUAUGAAAACUUGUGAUUUAUUGUUCAUUAAGUGAUGUCAUGAGGAUUGAUUUGAUAUAUUUUUCAUAUCAUAGGGACUAAAGGUUGACAUUUUUAAAAGCGGGAACUAAACUGAACAUCAGAACUUAACUUGAGGACCAAAAAAGGGUUUAAACCUAAAGUUAAAAGGUAAGAGUAAAAUCAUUUUUAUCAAAGGCCAUUUUAGUAAAAUAGAAAAUUUUGAGGAGGUAAAGGAAGAAAUUGGAGGGGUGUAGGGAGAAACAAAACUUUAGCCCAAUCCUUAUUGAUUCUCACUCAGACCAAAGAUUCCAAACAAAACUUUAGCCCAAACUAUUUAAACCUUUCUGCUCUUUGCACCCCUCUUUUAAUCCAUAUAUCAUACACAAAAAGAAUAAGAGAAUC